RNAcentral lists this ribosomal RNA (253 nucleotides) under uncultured bacterium. RNAcentral's name for it is "partial 16S ribosomal RNA". It matches the Rfam family "Archaeal small subunit ribosomal RNA", at positions 474 to 727 of the family's 1478-position model. The record is from RNAcentral.
UACCAGCACCCCGAGUGGUCGGGACGAUUAUUGGGCCUAAAGCAUCCGUAGCCGGUUCUGCAAGUCCCCCGUUAAAUCCAGCUGCUCAACAGAUGGGCCGCGGAGGAUACUCCAGAGCUAGGAGGCAGGAGAGGCAAGCGGUACUCAGUGGGUAGGGGUAAAAUCCGUUGAUCCAUUGAAGACCACCAGUGGCGAAGGCGGCUUGCCAGAACGCGCUCGACGGUGAGGGAUGAAAGCUGGGGGAGCAAACCGG